GGGGCGUACGGUGGAUGCCUGGGCAUCAGACGCUGAAGAAGGACGUGGGAGGCCGCGAUAGGCCUGGGGGAGCUGUCAACCGAGCUGUGAUCCCAGGGUGUCCGAAUGGGGAAACCCGGCCGGGGUGAUGCCCGGUCACCGGUGCCUGAACAGUGGUAUAGGGCAUCGGGAGGCACGGGGGGAACUGAAACAUCUCAGUACCUCCAGGAGGAGAAAACAAACAGUGAUUCCCUCAGUAGUGGUGAGCGAACGGGGAGCAGGCUAAACCGGGUGCGUGGGCGAGUCGGCAGACGGUGCGUGCCCGGGGUUGUGGGAGUGUGUGGUGUCUGUGCUGCCGCGCAGGCGCGUGUGCCCGAUGGUGAGCCGAAGGUGUUGGAAGGCACCGGCGCAGUGGGUGAGACCCCCGUAGGUGAACACGGUCGGGUGGGCGUGCACGCAUGUCCCGAGUAGCGCGGGGCCCGGGAAAUCCCGUGUGAAUCGGCCAGGACCGCCUGGUAAGCCUAAAUACGUCUGGUGACCGAUAGUGGAUGUGUACCGUGAGGGACUGGUGAAAAGUACCCCGGGAGGGGAGUGAAAGAGUUCCUGAAACCGUGCGCCCACAAGCCGUCAGAGCAUCCCCGUGCGGGGGUGUGAUGGCGUGCCUUUUGAAGAAUGAGCCUGCGAGUUAGUGGUGCGUGGCGAGGUUAACCCGUGAGGGGAAGCCGCAGCGAAAGCGAGUCCGAACAGGGCGGGACAGUCGCGUGCUCUAGACCCGAAACCGAGUGAGCUACCCGUGGCCAGGGUGAAGCGCGGGUAAGACCGUGUGGAGGCCCGCACCCACCAGGGUUGAAAACCUGGGGGAUGAGCUGCGGGUAGGGGNGAAAGGCCAAUCAAACUCGGAGAUAGCUGGUUCUCCCCGAAAUGCAUUUAGGUGCAGCGUCGUGACAGGCCUGGUGCUGGUAGAGCGACUGGAUGGCGAAGGGCCCGGUGCGGGUACUGACGUCAACCAAACUCCGAAUGGUGUCAGGCAGUGCGCGGCAGUGAGUCCCUGGGGGACAAGCUCCAGGGUCGAGAGGGAAACAGCCCAGAUCACCGGCUAAGGCCCCCAAGUGUGUGCUGAGUGGAAAAGGAUGUGGGAUCGCCGAGACAACCAGGAGGUUGGCUUAGAAGCAGCCAUCCUUGAAAGAGUGCGUAACAGCUCACUGGUCAAGUGAUCCUGCGCCGAUAAUAUAGCGGGGCUUGCAAGCACACCGCCGAAGCCGUGGCACCGCCCCUGGCGGGGUGGUGGGUAGGGGAGCAUCCCUCACCGCGGUGAAGCAUCCCCGUAAGGGGGUGUGGAGUGUGGGGGAGUGAGAAUGCAGGCAUGAGUAGUGCUAGGACAGUGAGAAUCUGUCCCGCCGAAUGACCAAGGGUUCCAGGGCCAGGCUGAUCCGCCCUGGGUGAGUCGGAUCCUAAGGCGAGGCCGACAGGCGUAGUCGACAGGACAACGGGUUGAUAUUCCCGUACCCGCCUUGACACGUCCCAUACCAGCCCCCACGACACCAGCAUCAACCGGUGGGCCCGGUCUCGUUCGCGAGACCACGGCUGGACCGGUGGUGGUGUGUGUGGUGGGUGUGUUGGUCAGCGACGGGGUGACGCAGAAGGGUAGCCCAACCCGGGCGAUGGUGGUUCCCGGGGUAACGGUGUAGCCGGCCGGCCCAGGCAAAUCCGGGCCGGCGUCGACGGUGAGACCGGAGGCCGAGCCAGUGUGGCGAAGUGGGUAAGCCCCGGCUGCCGAGAAAAGCCUCUAGCGAGUGUGAGGGCGGUCCGUACCCGAAACCGACACAGGUGGUCUGGUAGAGCAUACCGAGGCGAGCGGGCGAACCGUGGUUAAGGAAUUCGGCAACAUGUCCCCGUAACUUCGGGAGAAGGGGAGCCGCCGCUGGUGACCCCCCCUGCGGGGUGAGCUGGCAGCGGCCGCAGAGAAUGGGCCCAAGCGACUGUUUACUAAAAACACAGGUCCGUGCGAAGUCGUAAGACGCGGUAUACGGACUGACGCCUGCCCGGUGCCGGAACGUUAAGGGGAGCCGUGAACCCCCCACGAGGGGGUGUGGCGGCGAACCGAAGCGCCGGUAAACGGCGGNGGUAACUAUAACCAUCCUAAGGUAGCGAAAUUCCUUGUCGGGUAAGUUCCGACCUGCACGAAUGGCGUAACGACUUGGGCGCUGUCUCGACCACGGACCCGACGAAAUUGCACGACGAGUUAAGAUGCUCGUUUCGCGCGGCAGGACGGAAAGACCCCGGGACCUUUACUACAGCUUGGUAUGGGCGUCCGCGGCGGCUUGUGUAGGAUAGGUGGGAAACUGGGAAGGUCACACGCCAGUGUGGCCGGAGUUGCUGGUGAAAUACCACUCUGGUCGUUGUGGGCGUCUAACCUCGGUCCGUCACCCGGACCAGGGACAGUGCCUGGUGGGUAGUUUAACUGGGGCGGUUGCCUCCCAAACAGUAACGGAGGCGCCCAACGGUUCCCUCAGCCUGGACGGAAACCAGGUGACGAGUGCAAGUGCACAAGGGAGCUUGACUGUGAGACCGACAGGUCAAGCAGGUGCGAAAGCAGGGACUAGUGAUCCGGCACCGGCACGCGGACGCGGUGUCGCUCAACGGAUAACAGGUACCCCGGGGAUAACAGGCUGAUCUUGCCCAAGAGUCCCUAUCGACGGCAUGGUUUGGCACCUCGAUGUCGGCUCGUCGCAUCCUGGGGCUGAAGUCGGUCCCAAGGGUUGGGCUGUUCGCCCAUUAAAGCGGCACGCGAGCUGGGUUUAGAACGUCGUGAGACAGUUCGGUCCCUAUCCGCCGCGCGCGCACGGAGACGUGCGGGGAGCUGUCCCCAGUACGAGAGGACCGGGACGGACGAACCUCUAGUCUGCCAGUUGUCCCGCCAGGGGCAGGGCUGGUUCGCUACGUUCGGCACGGAUAACCGCUGAAAGCAUCUAAGCGGGAAGCCCACCCCAAGACCACGUCUCCCACCCCCCACCGGGGGGAUAAGGCCCCCAGCAGACGACUGGGUCGAUAGGCCCGACAUGCACCCACAGCAAUGUGCUCAGUGGACGGGUACUAACCGGCCGAACGACGAACAC
Molecule: ribosomal RNA, 3095 nt
Filed under: Actinopolyspora mortivallis DSM 44261
Lineage: Bacteria; Bacillati; Actinomycetota; Actinomycetes; Actinopolysporales; Actinopolysporaceae
Description: bacterial LSU rRNA
Rfam family: Bacterial large subunit ribosomal RNA
Source: RNAcentral